RNAcentral lists this ribosomal RNA (486 nucleotides) under Lepiota acutesquamosa. RNAcentral's name for it is "small subunit ribosomal RNA". It matches the Rfam family "Bacterial small subunit ribosomal RNA", at positions 419 to 884 of the family's 1533-position model. The record is from RNAcentral. Lineage: Eukaryota; Fungi; Basidiomycota; Agaricomycetes; Agaricales; Agaricaceae.
UGGUUCUUAAGAUAACAUAAGGGAAAAAAAUGAUAAUACCUUAUUAUUAGUGUUGUCCAACAUUACUGGUGCCAGAAGACUCGGUAACGCCAGAAACGCAAACGUUAGUCGUCUUAAUCAGGCGUAAAGGGUAAGUAGGCUGCUUUAAAAGUUAAAAUUUAGAAAGCUCUUUAGGCGCUCAGGUGGUCUGGUUUUAGCUAGACUACUAGAGUGCUGAAAAGUAAAUAAUAAUGAAUUAAAGCUAGAAUCAAAAAGAGGAUAAGCCAAAUAAUAUUUAGAGUAAGGCUGAUAUCUUCAAAUACUAAAUAGAAUUCUAAUGGUGAAAACUUUUAUCUAAUAAUGAUUGACGCUGAGGAACGAAGGUGAGAAUAGAAAACAGGAUUAGAGACCCAGGUAUCUCUCACUGUCAACGAUGAAUGGUAGUUGUUAGCUUAGCUUAAGUUAGUAACGAUGUUAACGCGUUAACCAUUCCGCCUUGCGAGUACG